RNAcentral lists this transfer RNA (73 nucleotides) under Amphioplus laevis. RNAcentral describes it as "tRNA-Met". It matches the Rfam family "tRNA". Rfam says of the family: Transfer RNA (tRNA) molecules are approximately 80 nucleotides in length. Lineage: Eukaryota; Metazoa; Echinodermata; Ophiuroidea; Amphilepidida; Amphiuridae. The record is from RNAcentral.
AGGCAGAGUAAGUUAAAGUUAAACUCCCGGGCUCAUGAUCCGGUGAUGUGGGUGAAAUUCCUUCCUCUUCCUU